RNAcentral lists this unclassified non-coding RNA (376 nucleotides) under soil metagenome. RNAcentral describes it as "partial contains 5.8S ribosomal RNA, internal transcribed spacer 2, and large subunit ribosomal RNA". The stretch from base 1 to 120 matches the Rfam family "5.8S ribosomal RNA", at positions 35 to 154 of the family's 154-position model. The record is from RNAcentral.
GAUGAAGAACGUAGUGAAAUGCGAUAAGUAAUGUGAAUUGCAGAAUUCAGUGAAUCAUCGAAUCUUUGAACGCAUCUUGCGCUCCUUGGUAUUCUGAGGAGCAUGCCUGUUUGAGUGUCAUUAAAUUCUCAACUUCACUGACUUUGAAUUGGUGUGGCUUGGAUUUGGGGGGAAAAUUGUUGUGGGCUUUUUGUAUAGUCUGCUCCCCUGAAAUUGAUUAGCGGUACCUUUGUGGAACUGUCUACAGGUGUGAUAAUUAUCUACAUCUUAGACAUCUGCUGGAAUGCUGCUUUCUAAACCUUACUUGUAUUGACAAUCUUGACCUCAAAUCAGGUAGGACUACCCGCUGAACUUAAGCAUAUCAAUAAGCGGAGGA